Molecule: unclassified non-coding RNA, 301 nt
Filed under: Glomeraceae sp.
Lineage: Eukaryota; Fungi; Glomeromycota; Glomeromycetes; Glomerales; Glomeraceae
Description: partial contains 5.8S ribosomal RNA and internal transcribed spacer 2
Rfam family: 5.8S ribosomal RNA (bases 1-72)
Source: RNAcentral
GUGAAUCAUCAAAUCUUUGAACGCAAAUUGCACUCUCUGGUUUUCCGGGAGAGUAUGCCUGUUUGAGGGUCAGCCUAAAAAAAAUCGACAUUGUUGCUGUUAUUUAAUGGUGACUUUCGUCGGAGAUUGAGUUAUCUUAAACCUUUUUUUUUGGUUUAAGCGACUUAAAAUUUUUCUUCACGAUUCCAUGAACGUUUCUAAGAUUUUUAUUUCUUAUACGUUUAAGGUAUCGAUUUUAUUAGGCGUGGUCGUCAUAUCGGAUCAUGUCCAUAAUUUUUCGUUAACUUACCUCAGACAGUUA